RNAcentral lists this transfer-messenger RNA (331 nucleotides) under Chitinophagaceae bacterium. Its description in RNAcentral is "partial transfer-messenger RNA". It matches the Rfam family "transfer-messenger RNA", at positions 44 to 374 of the family's 374-position model. Rfam says of the family: Bacterial tmRNA, also known as 10Sa RNA or SsrA, is named for its dual tRNA and mRNA-like properties. Lineage: Bacteria; Pseudomonadati; Bacteroidota; Chitinophagia; Chitinophagales; Chitinophagaceae. The record is from RNAcentral.
AGCAUGCCGUGCGUUGGAUAAUUAGCACGUAAAUCUGAAUAUUCAAACUUCAAAUGGCAAUACUCAGUAUGCCAUGGCUGCCUAAUCAGUGAUUAAGUAGUCAUUAGGGCCGCCGGGCCGGUUGAUCUGUUACCAUGCCCCGCCGCCGACAUAAAAACAAAACAGGUUGCUAUAAUGGAAGGCUGUGACCAUUAUUUAAGACCAUACAGCUAAGUAUUACAUUGGUUUGUUCAUUUCCUGUGUAGUGCCGACAAUCAAUAAUGAAAUAAGCAUGUAGAAAGCUUUUGAGGAAUAUGUUUGGACAGGGGUUCGAUUCCCCUCGGCUCCACAG